RNAcentral lists this ribosomal RNA (274 nucleotides) under uncultured bacterium. RNAcentral describes it as "partial 16S ribosomal RNA". It matches the Rfam family "Bacterial small subunit ribosomal RNA", at positions 523 to 796 of the family's 1533-position model. The record is from RNAcentral.
AUACGGAGGGUGCAAGCGUUAAUCGGAUUUACUGGGCGUAAAGCGCGCGUAGGCGGUUUAGUAAGUCGGGUGUGAAAGCCCCGGGCUCAACCUGGGAACUGCAUUCGAUACUGCUAGACUAGAGUAUGGUAGAGGAAAGUGGAAUUCCACAUGUAGCGGUGAAAUGCGUAGAUAUGUGGAGGAACAUCAGUGGCGAAGGCGACUUUCUGGAUCAAUACUGACGCUGAGGUGCGAAAGCGUGGGGAGCAAACAGGAUUAGAAACCCCGGUAGUCC